UUUUAGCUUAUUCUUUCUUUUGAUCAAACAAUGACUUAUGUUAAGCUUGCUAAUUUGGCUGUCUUCAUGCUCACCACAUUCUUAAUCAUCCAGACAGACGAAGAACGUUGAAGCAAGGCAUUGUGCAAGAUAUGGUAUGCCUUGUGCAGUAUUUGAGUCGAAUCCAUGCGGCAAUUCCAUAACGUGUCAGUGUGUCAGUUUGUACAUAUUUGGAAUGUCCUGCAUUGACUAUACGGGUGAUGGCCUCUAACUCUAAUGAAAAAAACUACUUGAAGAUGGCUUUGGAAAUUGCCACUUAAGAAUCAUGCAACUAUAAUAUGUCUGAAAAUAUUUUCGGACACUAUUGAAAAAGACUACUUGAAGACAGCUUUGGAAAUUUCUACUUAAGAAUGAUAUGUCUCAAAAACUAAAAAUCAACCAUGCAUGUUAUCCUCCUUAAAAAAAAAAUAAACCAUGCAUGUUAUCAUGCAUCUACUACUUUAAAUAAAACAACCUUUAUU
Molecule: long non-coding RNA, 500 nt
Filed under: Medicago truncatula (barrel medic)
Lineage: Eukaryota; Viridiplantae; Streptophyta; Magnoliopsida; Fabales; Fabaceae
Description: lncRNA gene14603
Source: RNAcentral